AACGAACGCUGGCGGCAGGCCUAACACAUGCAAGUCGAGCGCGCCUUCGGGUGAGCGGCGGACGGGUGAGUAACGCGUGGGAAUAUGCCCUUCUCUACGGAAUAGUCCUGGGAAACUGGGGGUAAUACCGUAUACGCCCUUUGGGGGAAAGAUUUAUCGGGGAAGGAUUAGCCCGCGUUGGAUUAGGUAGUUGGUGGGGUAAUGGCCUACCAAGCCGACGAUCCAUAGCUGGUUUGAGAGGAUGAUCAGCCACACUAGGACUGAGACACGGCCCAGACUCCUACGGGAGGCAGCAGUGGGGAAUCUUAGACAAUGGGGGCAACCCUGAUCUAGCCAUGCCGCGUGAGUGAUGAAGGCCUUAGGGUUGUAAAGCUCUUUCAGCUGGGAAGAUAAUGACGGUACCAGCAGAAGAAGCCCCGGCUAACUCCGUG
Molecule: ribosomal RNA, 431 nt
Filed under: uncultured bacterium
Lineage: Bacteria
Description: partial 16S ribosomal RNA
Rfam family: Bacterial small subunit ribosomal RNA
Source: RNAcentral